CCCAAACCGAGUCUGCCAAGGCUAUUAAAAAGUUAUAUACUCAUAAAUCAUGUUUUUAUUUAGAAAAUAUAGUCGUUCCUUAGCGUUGAUUGAGUUCCCCCUCAUGUGGUGGUUUGGCGUGAAAUGAACUCUAAAAGUUAUACCUCGAAAGUUACCCUACUCACCUCUCCAACCGAGGUAAAAUAUGUCAAGAUUCCGUGCCCCUCUAAUAGGCUAGUCCACAGAACCCAACCCACUACAGCAAGCAAUACCCACCAUACAAUAAAAUUUUGACAGCAUGACAGGGUUAAUUUAAUACUACCGAGCCUACAAAUGUAAAAUAGAACAAUUCAUACAAUUCACAAAAACUACAACCCAACCAGUCAUGCCAACACAUUAACAUAAGCCAUUUAUUCAAAUCAUAAAUUUACAACAUAUCAAUGGUAUCCAAUUACUCUAUUUUUCAAAAUCAUUAUUCAAUUUCAAGACAAUUUAUAAAAUCAUUUCGUUUAAACACAUUUUGUUUAUAAAACAUAAAGAUUUGCCAUUGAAACUCAUUUUUCAUAAAAUCAUAAAAUCGGAUAAAAAUCACUUUAGAUAAUUAAGAUGAUAGUAAGGUUACUCACUAUUUCAGGAGUCGAAUUUUCUUGCCCUUGUCGAAGGACUCACCACCUUGACAUAGUACAAAAUCGAGAAACUUAUUACAUUGAUACUAAAUCAAAAUUAAACUAAUUUAGACUAAUGCAUGAUAUGGAAUGCAAAAUGUCCGACUAAUCGCUUAAAUUUGAUAUUCGACCUAAGUCACACUAUACUCGGUCUAAUCGACUAAAAUCUCCAAUUUAACUCAAAUCAAUUCUUCUCACUUUCUACACUCCAAUUAUACCUAAAUUACCUCAGCGACUAUGAAUGAGAUUCAAUUUAUCAGUCCCGAGUCAAUAAUCACACAUGUCUAUACAUUGAGCAAAAAUUCAGAUUUUCACACCAAAAUUUCCCAUGUAAUUUCUAACCUCACCAAACAUCAAAUAUCACCAAAAUAUCAUGAAAUAUCAUCAAUUUCAGCCUCAAUAUUCUCCCUAGAAAAUUCGGCCUCUUAUGGGUAAUGGGAGAAAAUGAAUUUUUCUUGUUGGCUUUUCUUGCUACACAUCACUAACUAACUAAAAACACUAACAUAACUUGAAAUCAAAUCAAUCCAACAUCAUUCUCUCUCCAUACCCAUUCGGCCAGCCAUGAAUUCACCAUGAAAACAUAAAAUUUAACCAUGGAAAAUAAGGAAAAAUGCAUGCGAAAGGUAGAUCACAAGUCAAAAUCAAUAAAUUUUACCUUUGAUUGCUUGAUUACUUGAAAUCCACCAAAUUUCCCUUGAUUUUUUCCACCUAGGGUUCUUGUUCUUCUUUUCUUCCUUUGUUCUUCCUUUUGUUUUCCUUUGGCAGGCCAUAUGAAGAAAAUGGGCUGAUUUUGUGCUAAAUUUAAAGUUAAAUGAUAAAUGGUUAUAAACUUGACACAUGUCACCUUAUUAUUGGUCCAUGUGUCAUUUCUUAACUAUUAAGCUUUCUCUCUCCACCAUAUAAAUUCCUUCAAUUAUCCAUGAUAAUAUUGGAUUAAAUCCAUGUGCUCGACAAGUGUUGGCUGUGUAAAAUUAUAAUUUUGCCCAUAGGGUGGCAAAAUUACCAUUUUACCCCUAUGUUCGAAAAAUUACCGGAAUUACAAUUUUUCACUUCUCAACCUCAAAUCAUACUCCAAUAAGUCAAAUGUGAUCAAAAUCUUUCAAAAAAUUUCCCAUUUUGUGCUCGAGUGGCAAAAUUACCAUUUUACCCCUAGAUAGUGAAAUUUUCGAUUUGACUCCAAAUUAAUCCUCAAACUCCAAAUCACCAUUUUAAAUCAUUCCUGAACUGCAAAAUUUUCAAUUUCACCCUAUAAUUUUUAUUUGAUCUAGUUCGAGGCUUAAAUCAACUUUGUUGUACCUCUAGGUACAUUACCGACUUUUGUAAAUUUUUCGGGACUCUCCUUGCAUGGAAACAUGCUAUCCAUCACAUUUAUGUCCUGUCAAGCAUUUUAUAAGGUCAGGCUUUACAGCACUACCCCUUUUAAAAUAAAAUUAUGACCUCAAAAUUUCAUUUACUGAACUUAGAGAAAAUGUGGGGGUAUUGUUUUCUCAUCUAAUGCUCGACUUCUUAUAUCCUCCCCUUUAUAGGGAAUUGCAAUUUGUUCACCUCAUUUACCUCCAAUUCAACUCGAGUACUUCACUUAUGUCUAUUAUUAUCCUUUAAAAUUAGACCUAUAGUAACAUUUACAUUAUGAUCUCUUAUAUCAAAACAUCAAGCAUGCUUCUAUUACUAUCAUUAAACUUGAACCAUAACUCCAUCUCAAUCAUGCCAAUUUCGAUAGCAUUGUAUACUUAUUUAGAUAUACCAAUCACUAUCUUACUUCUUCAUUCCAUAUCCAAUUUCUCAACUUUCAUUCAUUCAUUCCUAUCCUUAUAGACUAUUGUGUAGUUUAUGGCAUCAUUAACAUGCCAUACUCAUUCUUGUACAUAUCCUCUUGUGCUUAUCAUGUAUAACUUAUAAUUCUUUCUCAAAGAUGUUUAAACAUUCUUGAAACACUUAAUCACUUAUUUGCUCCUUUAUACACCAAGUAUAUCAUUUCCAUAAAGGCAUGCCCAACUACUCAUGCUUCAAUUUAUCUCCAAGGGUUUCUAGCAUGUCACCUAGUUUACUUGUGUUGUUACUAAUCCUUUCCUUUCAACAAGGUCAAGACAAGAUCAGUAUAUUCUCAUAACAAUAUUCUAUAUCAACUCAUUUGCUAUAUCAUUAUUGAAAUCUUUAUUUACAUUUUCCUCACUUGGUAUUGACAUCUCUUAUCAGUAUCUCAUACAUUCAUCUAACCUUUCGCUCACUUCCUCAUUAGUCUUUAACAAGACUUAAUCUCUUGUCUUCCUUAUUUCUUAAGAUUUGACUUCAGUCAUCAUAUUAUUCAUCUUAACACUCCACAUGUUAAUUUAUUUUUAUGUAGCCAUCUCAAAAACUCUCUAACUUUUCUUUCUUUUACAUGCCAAUAUAUAAGGCAAUAAAGAAACUUUGCAAUUUCACUCAUCAUCUUUAUCUUAAUACCUCCCCAAUGCACUUAAAAUUCCAAACAACAAAGCUUAGCAUCAAAACCAAUGACCAUUCUUCAACUCGUGAGUUCAUCUUCAUGCCACUCUCAAUUUGCUCAUGCUUUCUAGCCAUUAGGGGUUUUUAACGCGACAGCGUUUGAUAGUCAGUACUGUGGUGUUGCAACUGUUUGAAUUCACUUUAUCCCAGCAACUUUUCUACCUUUAAAGCUACUACCUCAAUUAUUCACAAUCAUGUGGCUUCCCUCUAAGUCUAUACCACAAUUAGCAAGACUAACUUUCUAUCACAAUUACGUGAUCAGAACAUUGAUUUAACGUAUUUAUUUUGCCACUAUCAUUCCUGUAUCUUUACCAUAACAUUUAGUACAAGUUUGCUUAAGCAAAAAUAUUCAAAUCUAUUCAUAGCUACAUGUAUCUCAGAUUGCACAUCACUUAUCAUCAGUCAACAAAUUCCACUUGAGAAUACUCUUUCCAUAUUGUAUAGUGACUUCACCAUAUAGUAUCACAGCACUAUGUUCCUCCAUUAUACUAUCACGCAUACUCCACAGAAAUUAAUUAAAAGAUUUACGUACCUUAACUAAUGGUAAUUCCUUUUAAUCAUAUCUUAAAUACUCUAAACUUGUAAAUUACAACUCCAAGUGUAUGUCCAUUUAUUGAUAAUCUUUAUAUAUUUCAUAAUCACGAAAACUACAACUUACAAACUAGCUUUCUAUCAUAUGCACUUUAUUAGUACACUAAUUUCCACAUAUUUAACCUACCCUUGGUGGUAUGUUAAAAUCAUCCCUGUCUCGGUGGUAAUCCAGAGGAAUCUCUCCUCUACGUAUCCGUACGAGCUGGUGGAGAUGGGGAAACUACCGUAGCCCGUCUUAACUGUGGGCAAGUACUCCUAAUAUGACCCUGCUGACCACAAUAAAAACAUCGUGCAAGCCCCCUACACAGCCCCACAUGAUAAUUCCCACAAUUUCUGCAUCUAUCAGAACCUCCGGAACUCUUCCCAGAAAUAGUCAUCGCAGAUCUGUUAAAUCUCAAAGACCUCUGCUGUGUCUGUAAAAAUGGAGGUUGGAAAGAUGUUACUGAAACAGUAGUAGUACUUCCUGAAACAGAGGAGUAUUUGCCCCUUUUUGGUAGCUGACUAGAAGAUACACUCAAAUUUCUCCUUUUUGUUAACUCAACUCGCAGACUCCUAUUUUCAUUCGCAAGCUUCUCAGUUCUUAAAGCCAUUUGCACCACCUCUUUAGCUACGAUUGCAUCUGAUUCACCCAUAAAAGAAGUGCAACCAUGUUGCCUAGCCUCUUUAAACUUCUUAGAAUUAGAAACAUCCCACACUGGUGGUGGGAUAGAAGGCGGGGGUGGUGGUAUUGAAGGAGCAGCUGGAGGAACUAUAGGAAGAGUUUGACCAGCCUAAGCCUGGCCAGCAAUAGCAGUAACGAAGGCUGCCAAUGCCUGAACCACCUCAGGAGGCAUGGUAGGAAUACUAGUAGGUAGUGGAGGAGGCGCAGGAUGUGGAGGAGUCUCUAUCUGUUCAGCAGCAGGUGCUGCCCGAAUAGCAGACGCAGUCGAUUCCCUCUCUAUAGGAUUUAGCUGACUAUGUUGGGAACGACCUCUUCCCCUCCCAACCAAUCUAGUGAGAGGUGGGUGUUCGUGUCGAGGAGGCAUGAUAAUCUAUAAGGGGAAACAAAGUGAGUUUAGGUCACCUCAGGCUCUAUAUGCUGAUACAUGUAUUCUAUUCAACCUAACCUAACUUAACUCGAGACCACACUGACACUGUAAAAUUUUUAAAAUAUCUUUAAAAUCAAAAACUAUUAUCUUUAAAACCAAAAGCUCUGAUAUCAAUUGAAUUGUCACGACCCAGAACUCUCCUCGAGCCCAUGACAACCGCCACGAUGCCCAGAUCGACACUCAUUACCCGAAAUGUCAACCGGAACCCUACAAGGCUUUAAUAUCAGCUUCUCAUUUCCCCUAUGAGUAACCGUCGCCAAAUAUCACGUUUUAAAAGAUUUUAAGCUAUUUCCAACUUAAAACAAAUAAAAUAAUAAUUUUCGUCUCACAGAGGUAUUUUGGUCAUUUUUUAAAAAAUUUUUGAAACUGGUUAUAAUGUAAUAUACAAGUACAAAACACAUAAUUCAUUAUCAAAAUGAGUUUAAAAGUCUAAAAUCUUCAUUUAAAACCAAAUUAUGAUUAUUUGGAUAUAAUAAGAAAAUAAAAUGAAUAUUAAGCAAAAUAUUCUAUUUUCUUAUAAAACAAUAUUUUUAGAACAUUGCGUAAAUAAUUUUUAUAGCGUAAAAGCAAAAUAAAUGCAUACAUGUUGUAAUACAAAUAACUAAAGUAUAAAAUUUAAUUUACAGUGACACGUGAGCCCACAAAUGACUAAAAGUAUCAAAAGAAAUGAACCUACAGUUUUUGGAUGUGGCAAGUCCAACUGUAGUCCUCGCCGAUAUCAGUUAUCUACAAUCUAUUUUGAGCCUGAAAUGGGUGGAAAUGAGGGUGGUAAGAUUAUAAAAUUUUAGUGAGUAAACAAAUACCAUCUAAAAUAUCUAAAGUCGAGUAAAUGGAGAAAGAUAAAAUAAAUCAUCAUACUUUAAUUUAUCAUAUUUCAACUCAUUUCAACCAAAUAAAAUUCAAUUCAUUUAAAUCGAGUAAUCAAUAUGGCUUAUGAAUUUCUUAAAACUUUGCUCAUGCCAAAAAUUAUUCUCAUACUUAGUUAUCAAGGAUACCUUGGCCGAGAGCUAUCCUAAACCGAGUUCGCCAAGGCUAUUAAAAAGUUAUAUACUCAUAAAUCAGGUUUUUAUUUAGAAAAUAUAGUCAUUCUUUGGCGUUGGUCGAGUUCCCCCUCAUGUGGUGGUUUGGCGUGAAGUGAACUCUAAAAGUUAUGCCUCGGGAGUUACCCUACUCGCCUCUCCAACAGAGGUAAAACAUGUCAGGAUUCCGUGCCCCUCUAAUAGGCUAGUCCACAGAAC
This 6045-nucleotide long non-coding RNA is filed under the name Theobroma cacao (cacao). RNAcentral's name for it is "long non-coding RNA (TCAC_LNC001259)". Lineage: Eukaryota; Viridiplantae; Streptophyta; Magnoliopsida; Malvales; Malvaceae. The record is from RNAcentral.